RNAcentral lists this ribosomal RNA (405 nucleotides) under uncultured bacterium. Its description in RNAcentral is "partial 16S ribosomal RNA". It matches the Rfam family "Bacterial small subunit ribosomal RNA", at positions 28 to 526 of the family's 1533-position model. The record is from RNAcentral.
GACGAACGCUGGCGGCGUGCUUAACACAUGCAAGUCGAGCGGAGCGGCGCACGGGUGAGUAACGCGUGAGUAACUGCCCCCCUCUCUGGGAUAACAGUUGGAAACGGCUGCGAAUACCGGAUAGUGGGGGAUGACUCUGGUCCUAUCGGCUUGUUGGUUGGGUAGUGGCCUACCAAGGCGACGACGGGUAGCCGGCCUGAGAGGGCGACCGGCCACAUGGGGCUGAGAUACGGCGCAAGCUCGUACGGGGUGCAGCAGUGGGGAAUAUUGCGAAAUGGGGGAAACCUGAGUGCAGAAACGCCGCGUGCGGAAUGACGGCCUUCGGGUUGUAAACCGCUUUCAGCCAUGACGCGGUAGUGGCAGAAGAAGCACCGGCUAACUACGUGCCAGCAGCCGCGGUAAUUC